Molecule: ribosomal RNA, 866 nt
Filed under: Bacillus stratosphericus
Lineage: Bacteria; Bacillati; Bacillota; Bacilli; Caryophanales; Bacillaceae
Description: bacterial SSU rRNA
Rfam family: Bacterial small subunit ribosomal RNA
Source: RNAcentral
GGCUCAGGACGAACGCUGGCGGCGUGCCUAAUACAUGCAAGUCGAGCGGACAGAAGGGAGCUUGCUCCCGGAUGUUAGCGGCGGACGGGUGAGUAACACGUGGGUAACCUGCCUGUAAGACUGGGAUAACUCCGGGAAACCGGAGCUAAUACCGGAUAGUUCCUUGAACCGCAUGGUUCAAGGAUGAAAGACGGUUUCGGCUGUCACUUACAGAUGGACCCGCGGCGCAUUAGCUAGUUGGUGAGGUAACGGCUCACCAAGGCGACGAUGCGUAGCCGACCUGAGAGGGUGAUCGGCCACACUGGGACUGAGACACGGCCCAGACUCCUACGGGAGGCAGCAGUAGGGAAUCUUCCGCAAUGGACGAAAGUCUGACGGAGCAACGCCGCGUGAGUGAUGAAGGUUUUCGGAUCGUAAAGCUCUGUUGUUAGGGAAGAACAAGUGCAAGAGUAACUGCUUGCACCUUGACGGUACCUAACCAGAAAGCCACGGCUAACUACGUGCCAGCAGCCGCGGUAAUACGUAGGUGGCAAGCGUUGUCCGGAAUUAUUGGGCGUAAAGGGCUCGCAGGCGGUUUCUUAAGUCUGAUGUGAAAGCCCCCGGCUCAACCGGGGAGGGUCAUUGGAAACUGGGAAACUUGAGUGCAGAAGAGGAGAGUGGAAUUCCACGUGUAGCGGUGAAAUGCGUAGAGAUGUGGAGGAACACCAGUGGCGAAGGCGACUCUCUGGUCUGUAACUGACGCUGAGGAGCGAAAGCGUGGGGAGCGAACAGGAUUAGAUACCCUGGUAGUCCACGCCGUAAACGAUGAGUGCUAAGUGUUAGGGGGUUUCCGCCCCUUAGUGCUGCAGCUAACGCAUUAAGCACUC